Molecule: transfer RNA, 67 nt
Filed under: Ictidomys tridecemlineatus (thirteen-lined ground squirrel)
Lineage: Eukaryota; Metazoa; Chordata; Mammalia; Rodentia; Sciuridae
Description: Spermophilus tridecemlineatus (thirteen-lined ground squirrel) tRNA
Rfam family: tRNA
About the family: Transfer RNA (tRNA) molecules are approximately 80 nucleotides in length. Their secondary structure includes four short double-helical elements and three loops (D, anti-codon, and T loops).
Source: Rfam by way of RNAcentral
GGAGUUGUGGCUCAGUGGUAGAGCACUUUCCUUGCAUGUAAGGCCCUGGGUUUGAUUUUCAGCACCA